Molecule: long non-coding RNA, 332 nt
Filed under: Nicotiana benthamiana
Lineage: Eukaryota; Viridiplantae; Streptophyta; Magnoliopsida; Solanales; Solanaceae
Description: long non-coding RNA (NBEN_LNC031658)
Source: RNAcentral
ACCGCUGUCUCUCCGGCGGAAGCCAAAUUCUUAUGGUGGUUUCUCAUUUUCUGUGCACUUUUUAGCUGAUAUUCUGCUUAGGAAUUUUUUUCUUCUGGUAGAUUUUAUAAGGUUUUUUACUUUUAUUUUAAAUUGAAAAUUAUAUUUUCCAAAAUGUCUUCUUCUCUCUUAGUAAUAUUAUAUACCAAUUACGUGUAUUAUGAGUAUGAUAGUGUGGUUUCUGUGAUCAUCAAUGGCGGAGAAGAAGAAAGAGGUAUGGUGAUUAUUGCCAAAAAUGUAUGUGAUUGUGGGUGAGAGGGUGAAAGAGAGGACAGCAGAGGAGUACGAACGAG